AAUUGCAUUUCAUGGACACCCUAACAAAAGAUUAGAUAUAUCACAUGACUACAGGAAGAGAGAGAUCUACACCAAUGCUUCCCAUCAAAGGAAGAAUUUACAAUUACAACUAUAAAUAAAAACCCAUUAAGAUAAACACCAUUUUUCAUUUAGCUAUUCACUUUUCUUUAUUCACUAUCCGAUGAAUUUCCUCUUGCUUUUCAGCUACCCCCACCAGGGUACAGACAACCAUUGUAACUGGGAUUUUUUGAUGUGAGUGCAGCCGUCUGCGAGAAAUCGCAAUUCCAUGAAUUCUUGCCUGAAUUUUGGUAGUAUAAAUUCAUGGCAUAAGCAGCAUGUGAAACUACAGUAUUUGGAUCAAAACAUGCUCCUCCUGGUUGAAUUGGGCUGCAAUCUAUGCCUUGACCACAGGCAUAGUCGAGACUUGCCUGUAAUUGAGCAUCAGAAACACCAGACUUGGGCAUACACCAGACUGCUCCUGUUGGUUUUGCU
This 492-nucleotide unclassified non-coding RNA is filed under the name Hevea brasiliensis (rubber tree). The record is from RNAcentral. Lineage: Eukaryota; Viridiplantae; Streptophyta; Magnoliopsida; Malpighiales; Euphorbiaceae.